UACGUAGGGCGCAAGCGUUAUCCGGAAUUAUUGGGCGUAAAGAGCUCGUAGGCGGUUUGUUGCGUCUGCCGUGAAAGUCCGGGGCUCAACUUCGGAUCUGCGGUGGGUACGGGCAGACUAGAGUGAUGUAGGGGAGACUGGAAUUCCUGGUGUAGCGGUGAAAUGCGCAGAUAUCAGGAGGAACACCGAUGGCGAAGGCAGGUCUCUGGGCAUUAACUGACGCUGAGGAGCGAAAGCAUGGGGAGCGAACAGG
RNAcentral lists this ribosomal RNA (253 nucleotides) under uncultured bacterium. Its description in RNAcentral is "partial 16S ribosomal RNA". It matches the Rfam family "Bacterial small subunit ribosomal RNA", at positions 524 to 776 of the family's 1533-position model. The record is from RNAcentral.